This 91-nucleotide transfer RNA is filed under the name Butyricicoccus faecihominis. RNAcentral describes it as "tRNA-Ser". It matches the Rfam family "tRNA". Rfam says of the family: Transfer RNA (tRNA) molecules are approximately 80 nucleotides in length. Their secondary structure includes four short double-helical elements and three loops (D, anti-codon, and T loops). Further hydrogen bonds mediate the characteristic L-shaped molecular structure. tRNAs have two regions of fundamental functional importance: the anti-codon, which is responsible for specific mRNA codon recognition, and the 3' end, to which the tRNAs corresponding amino acid is attached (by aminoacyl-tRNA synthetases). tRNAs cope with the degeneracy of the genetic code in two manners: having more than one tRNA (with a specific anti-codon) for a particular amino acid; and 'wobble' base-pairing, i.e. permitting non-standard base-pairing at the 3rd anti-codon position. RNAcentral also lists the same sequence under 4 other names. Lineage: Bacteria; Bacillati; Bacillota; Clostridia; Eubacteriales; Butyricicoccaceae. The record is from RNAcentral.
GGAGAGUUGGCUGAGUGGUCGAAGGCGCACGAUUGGAAAUCGUGUGUGCGUGAUGAGCGCACCCAGGGUUCAAAUCCCUGACUCUCCGCCA